Molecule: long non-coding RNA, 5377 nt
Filed under: Bos grunniens (domestic yak)
Lineage: Eukaryota; Metazoa; Chordata; Mammalia; Artiodactyla; Bovidae
Description: lncRNA (ENSBGRG00000006817.1)
Source: RNAcentral
AAAAGUGAAAAGAAUUAUAUAAGCAGCUCCCAUAUUAAGCUAAUAUUUUUUUCACCUUUGCAUCCAAUCAUUUUAUUCUGUAAAGAAUAUCAUUUCAGAUAGAGCUGAGUGCCCUUGUAUUCACACCCCAAGUCUCUUCUUACAUUUCUGUUUAAUUUAUGAACAUUUCAAUUUAUCUAAAUUAAAAUAAUGUAAUUCUAAAGUUACAAAAGGGGACCGGACCGGAACACGGAGCUAUUUCCAGGGCUUGGGGCCCUAUGUAAGAAGUCCCUGGGGUCCGGGAGAAACCUGCGGAGGGGUGUUCCCAGCUGCUGAGGAGGCGAUGUGGGUGCCCCAAGUUCAUUCUCCUUCUCUCGGCGGGAUCAGGAGGAGGCCCCGAGGCGGGGCCCCCUUCCUUGAAAGCCCCGCCCAGGCUUAUGCGGCCUUCCUGCGAGCCAUUGUGCCCGAGCUGGGACCCGCUGGGCCAGCAUGUCGGGGGUGGAGGGGCUUUUCCGGGACGCAAGACUGGGCAGCCUGGCAGGGCGGCCCCGCCAAGGAAGCCUUGAUUCUCCGAGUGGCACGUUCUCCUCGGGCCCUGCCAAGUGCCCCGCUGGGCCGGGGUGGGGGUCGGCGCCACGCUGGGGUGCAAACCACGCUGGGGGUUUGCCUUGGAAACCCGGGUGCACUCACUUCUUGGCCCCUUCCUUCCUUACAUCUUUCUCCUAAUCAUCACAGCUGUUCUUAUUGCCAAGUUCUGUGUUGCGCACUGGGAUUGCAUGGUUUCUGCCUUCACUCAUUCGUUCCCUCAUUCACUGAUUCCACAUACAGUUACGGAGCAGGAGCGUGCGCCGGCACCGUUCUAGGUACUGUACUGGGAUAAGCCUGGGAACGAAGUAAGUGAAGAUCUUUGCCUCCUGGAGCUUGUAUUCUAGCAAACAGACAACAACAACAAAAUAGAUGUGAUAAACAAGUAUAUUGUGGGAGCGAUGAUGAGCGCUGUAAAAGAGUAGAGGGGGUGGAGAAAUCAAUAAUAGGGGAGGGGCCCUCCCUGUCUUCCCUUCUCCCUCCCCGUACACAGUUCUAAUCCACAUCCCUGUCUUCACACUUUGACCUGGGAUGUCUUCUGACUCAUCACCUUGUCUCCAUCUCCUAUCAGGUUCCUACCCUCUCCUGCUAGUGUUAGCAUCAUGUUUUCUUGGAAACUUCUGUUUUCCAAGUCACUUCACAGCAAGAAGAACAUUCUAAGUGGAAAGCAGACAGUGAAAAGUCUGCAGUGGGAGUCUGCCUGGCAGGACAGGAGUUAUACAGAGAGGGUUUUGUCCCUCAGCCACCUGGGCCUUCCCUGGACUCCAGAGCUCAGCUGGAGGGGAAAAAAAUCUCCCAGAGGCAGGUCCAAGAACAGGUGGCCACAUCUGUGCUCCAGUGGCUUCCCUGGAUCUACAGAAUAACCCUGAUGUACUUGUUGGGAUGCCUGUGGUUAUUCUCUAUUCCUGAACCUUGUUCCUCUCUCCGAUCCCUUAUACUUUCACUGCGGCCUGCAGCUGACCCAUGACUGGCAGUUCCCCAGAUAUACUGUCCUGGCUGCUUCCGGACUGGGCACAUGGGCAUCUCCUGGAAUGUGAUCCACUUUCCUCCUACCUAUGUCCACCUGACAAGCCCUUCCCCUUCCUUCAAGAAUCUAUUCAACAUCACCUGCUCCAUGAUGGAGACUUUUCUUAAACUUCCCAUUGACUGUUCCAGCCCCAUCUUCUGCUUAUGUGACACCUGGCACAGACCUUGACUGGCAGGCGUCUGGCUGCCUUGCAGUUAUAGCCUGUCUCACUCACCUCCAUAUCCUCAGCAUUCAGCACCUGCCUGGCACGGAGUGGGUGCUCAUGAACCAUGUUGACUGGUUGAUUGAGCAGUGCUUGGCUGCUGUGGUCAUCUCCUGAGAGGCCCCAGGGGGCCUGAGUUAAAUAUGCCCUUGGAUAUUGAACAGACUGUAGUCACAGCUGCAGACUUCUGAGAAACUCGGAUUUCCUGUGGGUGAGGGACUGGCAGGAGAAAGGCCCUCAUUUCAAUCAUAGAAAAUGGCUGGCUGAAGAGUAUUGUUGUCCCAGAGAAUAGAAGAGGCCACCCCUCUCCUUGACUCCAUUUCUGCCCUGGGUACCAGUCUAUGGCUAGCCACACAACUCCUGGAAACCCUGGUCAAAAAUGUGCUUCCUCUGCGGCCGCUGGGGACUCUUGAGUCCUCCCAGGGCAGUGCAUUUACAAAGGGAGCAGGGACUGGCUGUCCUGCCGUCCCUCAGCCCUAAAGGCCUGCCAGCCUUCCCUUGAACGUCCCCGUCCUUCCCGUCUCCCUCCCACAUCCACAGUCCUAACCCACACCCUGCCUUCACACUGUGGCCUGGGAUGUCUUCUGGCUCACCGCCUUGUCUCCACCUUCUAUCAGUUCCUACCCUCUGCCUCCAGUGUUAGAAUCAUCUGUAGAAACUUCUGCUUUCCAAGUCACCCCUCAUUGUCCAAGGACAAAGUCCGGACACCCAUACUGGUUUCCCGGGCCUUCUGAAAAUUGACCCCAAUGCCCCUGAGCACACUUCUUCCUCUUCCUCUUCACCAACCUCCGGCCGACAGUCUGCUCACAGCCCCUCCUCUCAAGAGCGUCCCAGCUCUGGGCCUUCUUGUCCUGAAGGCCCAGUCUCUCCUCCCUUCCAGUGCUGUACACAUUCUUCCAGCUUACUCAACCCACCUCUGAGCCCUGUAUCACUUAUGCUCUCUACCUCUAGUCACUCAGUAACCAAUUAGACGGUCGACCUUGAGAGCUCUGAGGGUCCUGUCAGUUGCGCAGUUCAAUUCUGACCAUAUGUGUUUGCUGAUAUUCCACAAGUUUGUCUCAUUAGUUCUUCAUUUUUAGAGCAAGAGAUUUGAAGACCAGACCUUUGCCUUUGUCAGUGUGUAUCUUCUAGGAUAUAGUAGUCCCUGGCACAUGGUAGGAAAUUUAUUAUGGGUUUGCUGAUGGCAAGUUUCCAGACCCCUAUCCCCAGAUAUGCCUGUCUUCAGUAGUUCCCUGCUUAACUGCCAUAUGUGGGGGCUGUCAUACAUAUGCCUUCUGAAGGGAAGCUGAUAAAUAUAUGCAUACUGGGGGAUUAGAGACUUAACAUAUUUGUCCCCAGAGGGAAUCUGUAUUGUGAGAAGUACCUGCAAAGAGCACUACUGACCUGUUGUUUAGCUCUACUGAUGGAACACCAUUAUCAGUGAGAGGAAAGGUUGGCAUGGGAACCUUUUUUAGAGCCAUUUGACCAUACGCUUUUCCCCUUAGCUUCUUUACCUGGGUGUUCUGCCAGUUCUAGACUGUAGACUAGAAAGAGGAGAAAGGAACUAUCCAUUUUCAAGGAAAUUCCCCUCUCACACCUUGACUCCAUGCAAACCUGACCUCGCUAGAUGUCAUCCCUGAGAAGAGACCUCAUGUGUGGGUCAUGAUGGUGGAGGGAAGCAGGUGUUAUUCCUGUUCCUCUGUCUCGGGUCUGCAAGGCUGCCUGGAGCUCCUUGCAAGGCAGGAAGAGGUGGGCCAACAAACUACUGGGGAGACAAAUGUUACUCAAGCAAAAGAGAUGAGACAGGCUGCCAAAGGCACAUAGGGUGCAGAAUUAGAGAGAUGGGUGUGGGCAUAUGGGGAGAAGGAGGGAUGAACUCGCAUUGAUUGAGCACCUCUUGGGUGCCAGGCACUGUGCUAGCCACAUUCAUGUCCAUUACCUCAUCUAAUCUUCCCAGAGAUCUUGUAACAUAAUUGUCAGUAGCUGCAUUCUCCAACAUAGGAGUUUAUUUCCUCUCACACCCUUUCUCCAUUGUUAGUUUUCCUGUUUUUUGUUUUUUUUUUUUUCUUUUCUGGUCAUAAAGUAAUUAGUGUUCAUUAUAGACCUGAUAUAUGAAAAUAAUAAAGUACAAGAAAGGAAAAAAAUCAUCUGUCAUCUAAUAAUAAAAAUAUAAUUAUUAGCAUUUAUGUGUGUAUAUUUGUUUUUAAAAUUCAUUUUAAACAUGUGAUAUCACAUGUAUAUAAUAUUUUCUAUUCUUUUUUAAUAACCUGUAUAGCAAAAAUAUUUUCAUGUCAUUAAAAUUCUUUAAAAGCAUCUGUAUUGCCCUCACUGCUGCUACUGCUGCUAAGUCGCUUCAGUCGUGUCCAACUCUGUGCGACCCCAUAGAUGGCAGCCCACCAGGCUCCCCAUCCCUGGGAUUCUCCAGGCAAGAACACUGGAGUGGGUUGCCAUUUCCUUCUCCAACAGUGCCCCAUUAUAAGGAUAAACAGCUAGACUAGCUUUUUAGCUUUUCCCCAACUACUAGACAUCUGUUUUUCUAUCUUUUGAAAUUACAAAUAAUAGUUCUAUAACAUCAUGUACCAAUAUCUUUCUCUGAUUUCUGUUAAUUUUUUAGGAUAGAUUGAAGAAGAGAAGUUACUGGGACAAACUGCAUAAUUGUGACUUUUAAAUUUACUUUCUGAUUUUAAAAGUAACAGUUGCUUAUUGUAAAAAAAUAUAGAACACACUAAAAAAAAAAGAAAAUAAUAUCAUCCAAAGCCUUUCAAAUUGCUAUUAUAACAUUUUGGUGUGAUUGUUUCUUGGUCUUUUUUUCCAAUGACAUACAUACAUAAGUGUAAAUAAAUAUAGCUGCAUAAAGUUGGUAUUACACAGCUUACACAAUGCUAUAUUUUACUUAUGAGCAUUAUAUAAUCAUUAUAAUUAUUUUUUAAAAUACUAUUUUUAAUAGCUGUGCAAUUUCACUUUAAGAAUGCGCUAUACAAAUGUAAGCAUUCUUUUACAAAUGGCCAUUUAGAUUUGUUUUCAAAAACUUCCUAUUAAUAACUCUGAGAUGAAUAUCUAAACAUCUGUGAAUAUUCAUCUUUGACCUCAUUUCUGGUAUGUCCUCCAAAUAGAUUCCUACAAGUGAAAUUACUAGGUCAAAAUGUACCAGCCUUGUCAAAGCUGUUUGUAUGUAUUGCUAAACUGUAUUCCAAAAGCAUUGCUAAUAAUCAGGCAGAGAGUGUCCAUCUUCACAUGUCCUUGCAAUAUUAAUUUAGAUUGAAACUGCGGUAGCUUUUCAUGAGCAAAAUAUGCUUCGCUUGUUUAAUUUUCACAUUUAUGAUUAAUGAUAUUUAACAUAUUUUGAAAUGUUUGUUCAGUUCAGUUCAGUCACUCAGUCGUGUCCAACUCUUUGCGACCCCAUGAAUCUCAGCACGCCAGGCCUCCCUGUCCAUCACCAACUCCAGGAGUUCACUCAGACUCACGUCCAUCAAGUCAGUGACGCCAUCCAGCCAUCUCAUCCUCUGUCAUCCCCUUCUCCUCCUGCCCCCAAUCCCUCCCAGCAUCAGAGUCUUUUCAAUGAGUCAGCUCUUUGCAUGAGGUGGCCAAAGUACUGGAGUUUCAGC